This 587-nucleotide ribosomal RNA is filed under the name uncultured bacterium. RNAcentral describes it as "partial 16S ribosomal RNA". It matches the Rfam family "Bacterial small subunit ribosomal RNA", at positions 355 to 1375 of the family's 1533-position model. The record is from RNAcentral.
UGGGGAAUUUUGGACAAUGGGCGAAAGCCUGAUCCAGCAAUGCCGCGUGUGUGAAGAAGGCCUUCGGGUUGUAAAGCACUUUUGUCCGGAAAGAAAUCCUUGGCUCUAAUACAGUCGGGGGAUGACGGUACCGGAAGAAUAAGCACCGGCUAACUACGUGCCAGCAGCCGCGGUAAUACGUAGGGUGCAAGCGUUAAUCGGAAUUACUGGGCGUAAAGCGUGCGCAGGCGGUUUGCUAAGACCGAUGUGAAAUCCCCGGGCUCAACCUGGGAACUGCAUUGGUGACUGGCAGGCUAGAGUAUGGCAGAGGGGGGUAGAAUUCCACGUGUAGCAGUGAAAUGCGUAGAGAUGUGGAGGAAUACCGAUGGCGAAGGCAGCCCCCUGGGCCAAUACUGACGCUCAUGCACGAAAGCGUGGGGGAGCAAACAGGAUUAGAUACCCUGGUAGUCCACGCCCUAAACGAUGUCAACUAGUUGUUGGGGGAUUCAUUUCCUUAGUAACGUAGCUAACGCGUGAAGUUGACCGCCUGGGGAGUACGGUCGCAAGAUUAAAACUCAAAUGAAUUGACGGGGUCAUAGCUGUUUCCU